This 492-nucleotide ribosomal RNA is filed under the name uncultured bacterium. RNAcentral describes it as "partial 16S ribosomal RNA". It matches the Rfam family "Bacterial small subunit ribosomal RNA", at positions 29 to 507 of the family's 1533-position model. The record is from RNAcentral.
AGUGAACGCUGGCGGUAGGCCUAACACAUGCAAGUCGAACGUCAGCACAGUAAGAGCUUGCUCUUACGGGUGGCGAGUGGCGGACGGGUGAGGAAUACAUCGGAAUCUACUUUUUCGUGGGGGAUAACGUAGGGAAACUUACGCUAAUACCGCAUACGACCUACGGGUGAAAGCAGGGGAUCUUCGGACCUUGCGCGAUUGAAUGAGCCGAUGUCGGAUUAGCUAGUUGGCGGGGUAAAGGCCCACCAAGGCGACGAUCCGUAGCUGGUCUGAGAGGAUGAUCAGCCACACUGGAACUGAGACACGGUCCAGACUCCUACGGGAGGCAGCAGUGGGGAAUAUUGGACAAUGGGCGCAAGCCUGAUCCAGCCAUACCGCGUAGGUGAAGAAGGCCUUCGGGUUGUAAAGCCCUUUUGUUGGGAAAGAAAAGCAGCAGGUUAAUACCCCGCUGUUCUGACGGUACCCAAAGAAUAAGCACCGGCUAACUUCGUG